Molecule: ribosomal RNA, 241 nt
Filed under: uncultured bacterium
Lineage: Bacteria
Description: partial 16S ribosomal RNA
Rfam family: Bacterial small subunit ribosomal RNA
Source: RNAcentral
GUGAACGCUGGCGGUAGGCCUAACACAUGCAAGUCGAACGGCAGCACAGAGGAGCUUGCUCCUUGGGUGGCGAGUGGCGGACGGGUGAGGAAUACAUCGGAAUCUACUCUGUCGUGGGGGAUAACGUAGGGAAACUUACGCUAAUACCGCAUACGACCUACGGGUGAAAGCAGGGGACCUUCGGACCUUGCGCGAUUGAAUGAGCCGAUGUCGGAUUAGCUAGUUGGCGGGGUAAAGGCCC